GCAACAGUGAUGGGCAAGGACUCACCCUCCCUCCCCAUUGCUCCCUUCAUAAGUCCAGCAAGGUGUGCCAACUUUCCCCAGCAGCAUCAGGCACUCCUGCAGCUCCCUACUGCUCCUCUAGUAAGCACAGUGCCAGUGGACCCUCACAGUGCCAAAUAUUGCUGCAUCUCCCAAUCUGCCUCCCUGUCAAGCACUGGCAGAGGUGCUACGACAGCGUGGCUACUGAUCCGCUCCUCCUCACUCUUUCAAUUGCAGGACUGGCAGUGAUGCCAAGGCACUCAAAUCGUGCCAGACAUAGAUAAAGAUGCUUGGUAAUAAUACCUUCUUGCAAGAAAUGGCAAUAAGGCUCAAGUAUCCAUAUGGUGCUCUAAUAACCUUCCCUUGCCCUUUAUAGCUUCAAACACUUGCAAGGAUACUAGGUUGCCCAGAGAACCUUACAAAUCUUUGAGGGACUCCCUAAUCAGAGGAAAAGGAAUCCUUCAGUGCUGCUGGCAGGUUGUUUCACUUACUCAUAUGUAGUUCACAGCCAUCUACAAGUUUAUAAGCAACUACUCUUACAAUAACUACCAUCUCUUCUGUCUUCACCACCAGAAAAGCUGCCCUGAGGAAACCCCCAGAUGUGCAUAGGCAAUAUCCCCAAAUGCUAUGGCACAAUCCAGUGCUGCUAAAUUGAGCUUCUUCACCUGCCUGUUAUUGUGAUGAGUUUUGGUGGAACACUGUGUUUCAGUGGCCCACUGAUAGACCAUUAUUAGUAAAUGCCUAAGAUUUUGGUACAUGUAUAAAGAAAGAAUAAGAAAACAUGGUCCAAGUAAUGUCUCAGAGAGCUUAUGCUAAUUAAAAACUUAGGGUGUUCCAAUCUCUUCCUACUACUGCUGUAUAUUCUUCACUGACUCACAAACCAAAAUUGAGCUUUGGCUGUCUAAAAGGAGAGAAGCAGAUUUUUUUUCUAAUACUACCACCUGAAAGUAUUUCCCGUGCUUCCCUCCACUGAUACCACUUGGCCUCUUUGGCCAGCUACAAACCCAUGCUGCUUCCGCUUGUAAAGGAAAAAACUGGCAGAAGAUGAAAGGCUGCUUCUGUGCUCCAAAUGCCUCAUACUUUGAUUAAAAAUGUUUUUGUCAAUUAGAGAUUGAUUUUUGCUGUUCAUUAAAGUGAUGGAUGUCAGUGCUGAUGGAGGUGAUAUUUUACCCUGUGGUGGCCUGCUAUAUAAAUGGGUAGGAGAAACUGGAGGCUCCAGUUUGUUGGAGUGGAGUUGAUGACCAGGACUGGGAUAAAAUAGGCCAGUCAGAGAAUGGAGAAAUGAGUGCCACAGUGCUCAGAGAGGAGCAGGGGAAAGCUUUAAUUGCAGAGUUUUGUAGUCAGUCUUUACCACUUUCUCUCUCCGCAGGCACCACAGAAGCUGAAGAUAGAGACAGAGAUGUGGGAUGUUUUGGAGGGUUGCACAGUGCGGAUGAAGUUAUGGAUUAUAUAAAUGCCACAAGCUGGUACGUUUUUAUAUGCAGGCCAUGCAAUAUUUCCCCAACCCAAGCUGAGCUUCUCCUCUAGGAACUCACACCCUGACACUGCCAUCAAAAGGACGUUUCCUGAGAGGGAGAAAGGGCUGUCCUUAAACUGCAUGGGAUAGGUUGAAGCUAAGAUAAAAGAAAAGUUGAGAGCUUCAAAUACAUAACCAACAACUGUUUUCCCAAAAUUAAUCUACUUUUACCCCUCACUUUCUGCAGGACAGCAACACCUCACAUGUAUUGCUACCAGAGAGGGUAAGACAGGAAGUUACCAGAAGCUGCAGCAUUUUCCAAUGCCGUACCUAUUGUGCUUUUGGCAUUAUUAGCCCUGGCCAUGUGAAGGAGAAAAAUCAGGAGUCAUACACAAGAAAUAGUCGAGUCAGACCAUCUGGUGAAAGUGGCAAAGCACACAAAUAUGAAAUCUCCUUGGGGCUGGGUCUCCUCAGAACUACCAGUACUUGUAGAAGAGAAUUUGAGCAUCCAUACAUCUUCAGAACUAUGAUACAAACCCUGACAACACAGCUGGAUUUUACAGACUUUUUCAACCUACUGCACACCCAUCAGUUCUUUUACAGGCAAAGAAAGAGAAAGAAAUGCACCCCUGCUCCAGAGGAGAGUCCUGAUGCAACAGGAAUUCAAAGGCAGAAUUUAAUGGCCGGACAGCAGUCCGCAUAUAAAAUGUCUCAGUCUCUGAGAAAGCCAUUUGGGACCAGCAGCUACAUCAGAUGUUACAGCAGCUUCACUCUUUGCUGGGACAAUAGCAGGAGGAUUCAGGUGUGCACAAUGUUAUGAUUACAUCAAAUGGGUUGAAUAAUGCCCUUCAUGCCAUGCUAUCCUCCUGCCUUCAGCAGGGACGUAGAUCAGCCACAGGCAGUCACUAGUGCAAAACACACUGAGGGCUGAAACACAGCUCUACAAAAAUCCACCUGCUCCCUCUCACCAUUGCAAUCUGCUAUCUGUAGGUCCCCCAUCUCCUUCAAGUUCCAGUUUUAGUCACAAACUGUAUGUGCAUAUAAAAACACACACGCACACGGACACAUAUAUUUGUAUGCUGAUGAGAUCAUUAAAUUUAUCAGCUCUCCAAUUCAUUUGAGGUUCGUUAUGGAGCUGCAGCACUGCUCCUUUCAUCUGGAAAUGGAAAGGGAACGGCCUUUACCCCUUUCUCGAAAUUAAAGUGAAAUGGGUACCAUUUUAUUUUAAGUGCCCAUUAACUAAAGCGUAACUGAAACCAAGUUACAGUGGGUGCCUCAGGGGAAUGAACAUAGGAGAGAAAGCACACACACACAAACCCCACCCCCCCACACACAGACACACCAACAGCAAAUGGUGGCAGGCUCAAAAAUCAGGGGAAUAAACAUCAAAGCACUUCAUAGUGCAGUGAUAGUUAAAAACCUAUUUUACACCCAGAAACGGCAAGAGAUGCAGGCCCAAGAGCUCUUCAGCGCCUUUGAAAGACCCAUUUAAGUCUUAUUAAAAUAUUACCUGGGUUUUCUUUUUUUUUUUUUUUGUGCCUUUUACUGGAUUUAAACUCUUAAUUCAUCUUCCAUAAUUUUUUUUUUUUUUGCACUGGGCUAUUGUAAGGGGGAAAAGACUCAAUACUGUUAGUAAAAGGAUCUAAUUGGUAACUUCUUUUCAUCUCAGAAGCCCCCUGUUCCUCCCUCAUCCUCUCAUUCCUUACAGGUUGGGUCAUAGCAGCUUUCUUAAUCUUUGGAGAUUAUUCUUUUGUGGUUUGAUGAGACUUCACUAGACUCUUAAAUCUUUUCAUUUCACCUCAUUUAAAUAUUUUGGCCAAUUGCUGAAGUUAAUGAUGAUGAAUAGGAUUAAGAUUAAAGGCUUAAAAGAGUUAGGAGGAGGAAAAAAUAUAUUUCAUUUCCAACAAUGCAUACAGAAGUCUCUUUUCCUCAGUGUUGCAUUACCUCUCUGUUAGGGCUGUAGCUUGCAGUUCUUGGCAGGUCUCUGACAUGGCUGCAUCUGUCUGUCUCUCUGCAACAUCUCUUUUUGGCACCAAGUUCAGUAGAAAUGAUCAGGAUCUUUGCACUGUCUUUGCAUAUGCUCACUUGUUCUUUGUGCUGUCUGCCUCUGCUUGUGCUCUGUCUGCACUUCCCUGACUUAUUCUAAACCCACGUAUCUGAGUAUAACCUUUCAAAGAUGUCAUUUAAAAUAAAAAGACCCCGCACAUUUAUAUAGACAAAAUUAUCCUUAUCAUUUUGCACAGCAAUUUAGAAGACAACCAGCCUGAAAUUCUCGUCUGUGCAGAGUACAACCCUUUCCCAAAGGAAAAAAAUCUUCUCCUUUAUUAUUCUUAAACUCCUUUCCAUAUACUGAUUUCCUCUGGUAUCAAGUUGAAAAUUCAUCCUCAUAGUAUAUGAAGCCACAGAAAUUGGACCAAACUGGAAAUCUAGCUGCAACUAAAUAAGUCAUAUUUCCCCAUCAGUCCUUUGCUUAAAAUCAUAAAUAUAAUCUCACAGAAACUGCAAUUCUAGGAAGCCUUAGAUCAGUUUGGAUAGUCUUGAGUCCCUCUGACUGGUGUUUCAAAAGCAGUGGAGAAGAGAGCUCAUUAAGUGGCUUGCUGGGGGGGUGGGGGGGGGGUAAUACAAGUUGCCAAAUAAAACCAGGAAAUUCUUUGUCAAACCCAGCUUUGCCAGGAAAAUUGUGAGCUGGUGGUACUAUAACUGAACAAAAUUAUAUUUUCUGCUAUGUCUGUAGCAGCAAGGAAAAGGUGGGUGGAUGGCAGCAACCAGUUCCUGGAGCAGCACCAGGAACUUUUCGAUGCCAUACAAAACCCUGCUCUGACAGGGCAUUCUCCAUUUUUACCUAAACACUUCUUCCAUCCUCAGUAUUGUAAAUCUACAUCUUGUCCAACACAAACUUUUUUAACAGGUGGGAGGAGAGUGAAUGCAUUUUGCAGGCUUCAGUGAAAAAGCUGCAUGAGAGGGAACAUCAUUUAUAAUGUUAAGGAUUAAAAAUGGCUUACUGUGGGGAAUAAAGUGAGCUAUGGGUCUGCUGAAGAUUUCUGGCAUAUUGAACAAACUGUACUGAAGCUCUAACCUAAAAUAUUUAUAACAAUAUUUACCAGAGUUCAUGUUAGACUUGGUUGGGGCAGAGCAGGUCCUUUAGCAAAGAAGGAAUGUGCGCAGUGCUGGAGUCUGUCUGGGCUCAAUAAAAGAUGAGCAAGGACAGGAAUGAGUUCAGUGGAGGGAGCUGGAAUAUCAUUUGGUGUUGCCUUAGGCAAAGCACAAAGCCCACAAGAGAAGCAGUUCUGCUAAGAUGAAUCUAAGGAUCAAGUAUGACUGAUACCAAACUUGACAGGGAAAUGCUAAUGGGAUGUACAAGGAUGGACAAGUACAAGUAUUUGCCACUCCAGACUGAGGGAAAUAUGUCUACAUUGAGCAGGCCUAUUUCAGAUCAUCCUUGUACAACACUCUGACCAACUCUGUGUUUUGGCCAGCGUGAGUAGACCUGGAGAUGAAGCCCCAAGUGUGUUCACAGCUCAGGACAACACAGCAUUAGGAAGAGAAAUGUUGCCUCCUGGAUGACAACUCAAGUAGCUGGGUCAUAUCCUAAGUAAGAGGCAGUAUUUCCUCACUGCUGAAAUGAGAGACUUUUUGGAAAAUCCUAGACAUUGCAAGCAGUGCAUAAUCAUUGUCCUGCCACAACAGAAAGGUGACUCUCCCAGUGGGGGUUGCUUACCUAAAACGUGUCCAGAAAUGUGUUCAGUUCUUUACACUUCUUAAAGUCUCAGCAGCACCUUCUCUAACUGCAGGGUGGAAAAAUCCUAGUGUGCUCAACAAAUGCAAAAUCAAAUGUUUUGACUGACACAGCGGGCUUGAACCAGAGACUGCCAGAGAUAAAAGCAGAAGGUAAGGAAUCAAGUGGUUGCUCAUCAGCAGACUGCAGAGCAGUCUGAUAGCUGUAGAGGAUUUUAUGGAUGCAGAGACAAAUUUUGAGGGGCAUAUGGACCAAGAGGAUUUUUACUCCUUGAAAUUACUCCUUAAAAGUCCUCUCCACUGCCAAGCAGAGAGGCUGCUGGAAAAACAGCUGUGAUGGGUAUAGGGAUUGUGCAAUGGCCCAUCACAGCCACAUCUAUUCCCAGUGCACAUUUUCUAUCUUCAUUUGUGGCCCUAAGCUUUUGUGCAGAUUGGUAAAUAUUACGCAGAUAUCAUAUUCUGUGGCGAAGUGGACAAUCUCUUUUCAAAAUGCACUCAGUUUUUAAAGGCUUCAUCUGGUUUAAUGCAAGAAAGAAAAGAAAAGGAGAACAUAGUUUCUCCAUUUAUUUCAAGAUUGAAAUGUAAAAAUUUUUUUUUACUGCAUCCAAUAUCAGCAUUUGUAAACCGUCAACAGAACCUAUGUAUUAUUAUUUAAAAGAAUAAAAUUAAAAACAAUUUUAAAAUAGAAGAAAAUUAAGGUUUAAUAAAGAUCUAUUAGAUUUUUUUUUUCACUCCUUUUUUCUGGAAACCAAGCCUGGAAGACUUUCAGUUCAGUAAAAAGGAAGAAGGACCUCAGGAUAUUGCUCAAGGAUUCAGUACCUUCAAAAGAGAAAUGUAAGGAAACAUCAAAAGCAGGUGUGUGCAUGCAUGAGUGUGCUGCCCAUGUGUCUGUGCAUGCCUCUCCUCUUUAUCAGGGGCACAGACAGAGCUUGGCCCUUUGCCUCAACUCCAUAAUGAGUUACAGUUCCCUCUGAGCUCUCUUUUCUUCAGCCUUUGAAAAAUAAUCGUGUCACUGAGGUUGGGGUUUCAGUUGCCCACAGCUGUAAACCUGUCCAGUUUUCUGAGAGAUCCUGGGUUACUCUCAACCUGGGCUGCUGUGCUACUUUCCCUGAGCUUUUCCUUUAAUUAUCACAUAUAGAUUCAGCUUUUUAGCAAAUAACUGUUCAUAAAGAAAUGCUAAAGUCCAUGAAAAAAACCAAAACGCACCAACAUUUCUUUACAUAUUAAAAAAAAAAACCACCCUAAAAUUCAAAACUCUUUCAUAUCUAGACAAACACAUGAAACUCCAGAGAAAACUGAAAAGAGAGGGCAAUUCCAGUACAAACAGAUGGUUCUCAUGCUUGUCUGGGAUAAGAAAGAUAAAUCUGCAUCUCAGAUGUGACUGUGGCAAUACAGGAUCUGAGCUGUAUUUCCCACAUCUCCAGUCGCACAAGCUAAUGCCACAAGCUAGUAACACAAGCAGGUACUACAUGCUCAAUAUACAAUGUGCCCAAAUUCUAAAAUUAAAAAUUUUCUAGCUGACAGUAUGCUUACAUAAAUACAGCCUCAAUUUUAAUGAAUUAACGUAUUCCUACUAAACUGAACUGAACUAAACUAAACUAAAUUAAGAGUCACCAGCUAAUCCACGCACUCCCAGCCAGACCUUCCAAUAAAAAAUUCUGGUAUUGCUCAGGCACUAGUAAUAAUGGCAUAAACCCUCUUUUUAGCAACAACUAAAAAAGAAGCCUGUCUGGGCAGAAGGUGCUGGUGGAUCUGUGUCUGCCCAUGGCCUUCCGACUGAGUUAUGUCUGCUUGUGACUUUCACUUUUUUUGGUUGUGGUUAAUUAAUAGCCAUUCACCAGGCAAACCUCACUUUAGCUGAGAUUCUUUUGAAGCCAUUAAAUCCUAUGUAUUUUUUAUUUUCCCCUCAUUUGUUACAGUGCUGUGCACACAGAAUUCAAAGCUGCUUUGAAUUCAGCAAUCACCAAGGCUUGGCAUUGAUCAAGGUGAGUAUUUUCAUUCAAGCAUUCUUAAGACUCUUGUCAGUACCCAGCUGCUUCUUCACAGGCUCCCAAUAAUCUCAGCGCUAUUUCUUUUGAAUGAGAUAAAAAUAGCUCUUAUUGAUGAAGACUACUGGAAACAAAACAGUAGUUUUUGCCUAGAGAACUGGGUCAAUCCAAUACCUGGGUUUAUAACACCAACAUGGAGAUUACUCUAUGCCAGCCUGAUGGAGCCAUUACACAUCUGGAAA
This 7439-nucleotide long non-coding RNA is filed under the name Taeniopygia guttata (zebra finch). RNAcentral describes it as "lncRNA (ENSTGUG00000023845.1)". The record is from RNAcentral. Lineage: Eukaryota; Metazoa; Chordata; Aves; Passeriformes; Estrildidae.